GGGACUGUAGCUCAGUGGUUAGAGCAGGGGACUCAUAAUCCCUUGGUCGUAGGUUCGAGUCCUACCAGUCCCACCA
RNAcentral lists this transfer RNA (76 nucleotides) under Lentisphaerota bacterium. RNAcentral describes it as "Lentisphaerae bacterium tRNA-Met". It matches the Rfam family "tRNA". Rfam says of the family: Transfer RNA (tRNA) molecules are approximately 80 nucleotides in length. Their secondary structure includes four short double-helical elements and three loops (D, anti-codon, and T loops). Further hydrogen bonds mediate the characteristic L-shaped molecular structure. tRNAs have two regions of fundamental functional importance: the anti-codon, which is responsible for specific mRNA codon recognition, and the 3' end, to which the tRNAs corresponding amino acid is attached (by aminoacyl-tRNA synthetases). tRNAs cope with the degeneracy of the genetic code in two manners: having more than one tRNA (with a specific anti-codon) for a particular amino acid; and 'wobble' base-pairing, i.e. permitting non-standard base-pairing at the 3rd anti-codon position. The record is from RNAcentral. Lineage: Bacteria; Pseudomonadati; Lentisphaerota.